Homalodisca vitripennis (glassy-winged sharpshooter) is the source of this 243-nucleotide long non-coding RNA. RefSeq lists it as uncharacterized. The transcript is spliced from 2 exons. The record is from RefSeq and is a predicted model, not a curated record. Lineage: Eukaryota; Metazoa; Arthropoda; Insecta; Hemiptera; Cicadellidae.
CGGAGGAUGAAGUGGCUGAUGACUGUGAAUCCUCCAAGAGGCGAGUUCACCGUCGGGUCUCUGAUUUUAACUUCGAGCCUCUGAUUUUAACUUCGAGUCUCUGAUUUUAACUUCGAGUCUCUGAUUUCAACUUCGAGUCUCUGACUUCAACAACCACAUGGAUGUCCCAGGAAUGGCACAUUAUAAACUGAAAAUGUGAAGAUAUUAUGAUAGUAAAGUUGAGCAAGUUUGAGGUCUUGGUUA